GGGAAGGAAGGAAAGUUUUGUUUAGUGGGCGCAACAUCUGUGGUCAUAUGCCGGAGAGAGACAGAAGGGGAAGGAAGGAAAGUUUUGUUUAGUCGGCGCAACAUCUGUGGUCAUAUGCCGGAGAGAGACAGAAGGGGAAGGAAGGAAAGUUUGGUUUAGUCGGUGCAACAUCUGUGGUCAUAUGCCGGAGAGAGACAGAAGGGGAAGGAAGGAAGCUUUUGUUUAGUGGGCGCAACAUCUGUGGUCAUAUGCCGGAGAGAGACAGAAGGGGAAGGAAGGAAGCUUUUGUUUAGUGGGCGCAACAUCUGUGGUCAUAUGCCGGAGAGAGACAGAAGGGGAAGGAAUUAAAGGAGAAGGGAACAGUUGGAAAGUUUCGUUUAGUCGGCGCAACAUCUGUGGUCAUAUGCCGGAGAGAGACAGAAGGGGAAGGAACUACAGGAGAAGGGAACAGACCCCAGGAGACAGGACACAACCCCCGACUAAUACCUGCUACCCAUUCACUGCUGGGUGGACAGGGGCGUAGGGUAUCGAAAAAACCACCCAAAUUUUUCCACUCCGCCUGGGAAUCGAACUGGGGCUCUCUUGGUUGUGAGCCGAGUGUGCUAACCACUGCACCACGAAGCCCCCAUGCGAAUUCACUCAUAUGCGACUAACCUAAAUGAGCCAAGUAUUCGUUUUAUGUGAGAAAAAUCCACUAUCAUGCGACUAUCAGCGUUGGUGCGACUGGUAGGUGAGGUCUGGUGGAACUAGAGGGCAGCAGUGCAAAUGUUUCCCCGCACUUUCCUCGCCUAUAAUCAACCUUUCCCUCCCUCUGAGCCUGAAGUUAAUCCUCAGGUAGCUAAUGAUCAGCCUGAACCGUAGGCAUUGGGUGCGUCUCCCCGGAAGCAAUGGGCAGCUCUAUUUUACAUUUUAUCUCUACUAAUGUGCUUUAUUGUUGCUUUAAUGCUUUGUUAUUGUGAAACGGUGCCGGAGUAAAUAGUUAGAGGCUUCCAAAACGGGUCUCGAUCAUUACCCCCUGUAAUUAAGGGGAUGAUAGCCUCCAUAUACAGGUAACUCUCGAUUUAUGCGAGUUUGGUUUACGCGUUUUUUGAAAUACCACGGGGGUCCAAAAUCCAAAUAAAUGCUUAAUAUAUACGUUUUUUUAAAUACCGUGGGGUCCAAAAUCCAAAUAAAUGCUUAAUAUAUACGUUUUUUUAAAUACCGUGGGGUCCAAAAUCCAAAUAAAUGUUUAAUAUACGCGUUUUUUUAAAUACCGUGGGGUCCAAAAUCCAAAUAAAUGUUUAAUAUACGCGUUUUUUUAAAUACCGUGGGGUCCAAAAUCCAAAUAAAUGUUUAAUAUACGCGUUUUUUUAAAUACCGUGUGGUCCAAAAUCCAAAUAAAUGUUUAAUAUACAUGUUUUUUUAAAUAGCGUGUGGUCCAAAAUCCAAAUAAAUGUUUAAUAUACACGUUUUUUAAA
Eriocheir sinensis (Chinese mitten crab) is the source of this 1457-nucleotide long non-coding RNA. RefSeq lists it as uncharacterized. The transcript is spliced from 3 exons. The record is from RefSeq and is a predicted model, not a curated record. NCBI's taxonomy places the organism in Eukaryota, Metazoa, Arthropoda, Malacostraca, Decapoda, Varunidae.